GACGAACGCUGGCGGCGUGCUUAACACAUGCAAGUCGAACGAAGAGCGAUGGAAGCUUGCUUCUAUCAAUCUUAGUGGCGAACGGGUGAGUAACGCGUAAUCAACCUGCCCUUCAGAGGGGGACAACAGUUGGAAACGACUGCUAAUACCGCAUACGAUCUAACCUCGGCAUCGAGGAUAGAUGAAAGGUGGCCUCUACAUGUAAGCUAUCACUGAAGGAGGGGAUUGCGUCUGAUUAGCUAGUUGGAGGGGUAACGGCCCACCAAGGCGAUGAUCAGUAGCUGGUCUGAGAGGAUGAACGGCCACAUUGGGACUGAGACACGGCCCAGACUCCUACGGGAGGCAGCAGGGGGGAAUCUUCCGCAAUGGACGAAAGUCUGACGGAGCAACGCCGCGUGAGUGAUGACGGCCUUCGGGUUGUAAAGCUCGGUUAAUCGGGACGAAAGGCCUUCUUGCGAAUAGUGAGAAGGAUUGACGGUACCGGAAUAGAAAGCCACGGCUAACUACGUG
RNAcentral lists this ribosomal RNA (510 nucleotides) under uncultured bacterium. RNAcentral's name for it is "partial 16S ribosomal RNA". It matches the Rfam family "Bacterial small subunit ribosomal RNA", at positions 28 to 507 of the family's 1533-position model. The record is from RNAcentral.